RNAcentral lists this ribosomal RNA (441 nucleotides) under uncultured bacterium. RNAcentral describes it as "partial 16S ribosomal RNA". It matches the Rfam family "Bacterial small subunit ribosomal RNA", at positions 28 to 507 of the family's 1533-position model. The record is from RNAcentral.
GAUGAACGCUGGCGGCGUGCCUAAUACAUGCAAGUCGAACGGGGAGUAGCAAUACUCUUAGUGGCGAACGGGUGAGUAACGCGUUGGUACCUGCCCCGAAGCGGGGGAUAACGGACCGAAAGGUCCGCUAAUACCCCAUGUGCUCGGUAACGAGUAAAGGUGAAAACCACUUUGGGAGGGGCAUGCGUCCCAUCAGCUAGUUGGUAAGGUAACGGCUUACCAAGGCGAUGACGGGUAGGGGACCUGAGAGGGUGGCCCCCCACAAUGGAACUGAAACACGGACAAACCCCCGAGGGGGGGGCGCGGAAGGAAAUAUGGGGAAGGGGCGCAGGCUGAACCAACCCCCGCGGGGUGUGGAAGGCCGGCUUUGGGUUUGAAAAGCUCUUUUGACGGGGAGGGGGAGGGAGGGUACGGGUGAAAGCGGCCCCGGCUAACUACGUG